UAAUACCGGAUAGAUCAAAGAUACUGGAAUGUUCCUUGAUCCAAAGCUCCGGCGUCCAAGGAUGGAUCUGCGGCCUAUCAGGUAGUAGUGGGUGUAACGUACCUACUAGCCUACGACGAGUACGGGUUGUGAGAGCAAGAGCCCGGAGAUGGAUUCUGAGACAUGAAUCCAGGCCCUACGGGGCGCAGCAGGCGCGAAAUCUUUACAAUGCAGGAAACUGCGAUAAGGGGACCCCGAGUGCCAGCAUCUAAUGCUGGCUGUCCAGCUGUGUAAAUAGCAGUUGUUAGCAAGGGCCGGGCAAGACCGGUGCCAGCCGCCGCGGUAACACCGGCGGCCCGAGUGGUAACCGAUUUUAUUGGGUUUAAAGGGUCCGUAGCCGGCCUGUUAAGUCUCUUGGGAAAUCUGGCGGCUCAAUCGUCAGGCGUUC
RNAcentral lists this ribosomal RNA (427 nucleotides) under uncultured archaeon. RNAcentral's name for it is "bacterial SSU rRNA". It matches the Rfam family "Archaeal small subunit ribosomal RNA", at positions 147 to 575 of the family's 1478-position model. The record is from RNAcentral.